UACGGAGGGGGCUAGCGUUGUUCGGAAUUACUGGGCGUAAAGCGCACGUAGGCGGCUUUGUAAGUUAGAGGUGAAAGCCCCGGGCUCAACCUGGGAAUGGCAUUGGAAACUGGCGGACUCGAGUGUGGCAGAGGGGGGUGGAAUUCCGCGUGUAGCAGUGAAAUGCGUAGAGAUGCGGAGGAACACCGAUGGCGAAGGCAGCCCCCUGGGCUAACACUGACGCUCAGGCACGAAAGCGUGGGGAGCAAACAGG
RNAcentral lists this ribosomal RNA (253 nucleotides) under uncultured bacterium. RNAcentral describes it as "partial 16S ribosomal RNA". It matches the Rfam family "Bacterial small subunit ribosomal RNA", at positions 524 to 776 of the family's 1533-position model. The record is from RNAcentral.